This 253-nucleotide ribosomal RNA is filed under the name uncultured bacterium. RNAcentral describes it as "partial 16S ribosomal RNA". It matches the Rfam family "Bacterial small subunit ribosomal RNA", at positions 524 to 776 of the family's 1533-position model. The record is from RNAcentral.
UACGAGGGGGGCAAAUGUUGUUCGGAAUCACUGGGCGUAAAGGGAGCGUAGGCGGGUUCUUAAGUUAGGUGUUUAAUCCCGGGGCCCAACCCCGGACCGGCACUUAAAACUGGGAAUCUUGAAUAGUGGAGAGGUCGGUGGAAUUGGAGGUGUAGCGGUGGAAUGCGUAGAGAUCUCCAAGAACACCAGUUGCGAAGGCGGCCGACUGGACACAUAUUGACGCUGAGGCUCGAAAGCAUGGGGAGCAAACAGG